Molecule: ribosomal RNA, 274 nt
Filed under: uncultured bacterium
Lineage: Bacteria
Description: partial 16S ribosomal RNA
Rfam family: Bacterial small subunit ribosomal RNA
Source: RNAcentral
AUACGGAGGGUGCAAGCGUUAAUCGGAAUUACUGGGCGUAAAGCGCGCGUAGGCGGUUUAGUCAGUCAGAUGUGAAAGCCCCGGGCUCAACCUGGGAACUGCAUUUGAUACUGCUGAACUAGAGUAUGGUAGAGGGAAGUGGAAUUCCGGGUGUAGCGGUGAAAUGCGUAGAUAUCCGGAGGAACACCAGUGGCGAAGGCGACUUCCUGGACCAAUACUGACGCUGAGGUGCGAAAGCGUGGGUAGCAAACAGGAUUAGAUACCCGAGUAGUCC